GCACAAGCGGUGGAGUAUGUGGUUUAAUUCGACGCAACGCGCAGAACCUUACUGGUCUUGACAUCCCGAGAAUUUUCUGGAAACAGAGAAGUGCCUCGCAAGAGGAAUUCGGAGACAGGUGCUGCAUGGCUGUCGUCAGCUCGUGUCGUGAGAUGUUGGGUUAAGUCCCGCAACGAGCGCAACCCUUGUCUUUAGUUGCCAUCAUUAAGUUGGGCACUCUAAAGAGACUGCCGGUGUCAAACCGGAGGAAGUGGGGAUGACGUCAAGUCCUCAUGGCCUUUAUGACCAGGGCUACACACGUACUACAAUGGCAGGUACAAAGGGCAGCCACUUAGCGAUAAGGCGCGAAUCCCGUAAAACCUGUCUCAGUCCGGAUUGGAGUCUGCAACUCGACUCCAUGAAGUUGGAAUCGCUAGUAAUCGCAGAUCAGCACGCUGCGGUGAAUACGUUCCCGGGCCUU
This 460-nucleotide ribosomal RNA is filed under the name uncultured Desulfocapsa sp. RNAcentral describes it as "bacterial SSU rRNA". It matches the Rfam family "Bacterial small subunit ribosomal RNA", at positions 923 to 1382 of the family's 1533-position model. The record is from RNAcentral. Lineage: Bacteria; Pseudomonadati; Thermodesulfobacteriota; Desulfobulbia; Desulfobulbales; Desulfocapsaceae.